RNAcentral lists this ribosomal RNA (465 nucleotides) under uncultured bacterium. RNAcentral describes it as "partial 16S ribosomal RNA". It matches the Rfam family "Bacterial small subunit ribosomal RNA", at positions 28 to 507 of the family's 1533-position model. The record is from RNAcentral.
GACGAACGCUGGCGGCGUGCUUAACACAUGCAAGUCGAACGGAAAGGCCCUGCUUGCGGGGUACUCGAGUGGCGAACGGGUGAGUAACACGUGGGUGCUCUGCCCUGCUCUUCGGGAUAAGCCUGGGAAACUGGGUCUAAUACCGGAUAUGACCUUUCUUGAAGUGUGGGGGGUGGAAAGAUUUAUCGGUGUGGGAUGAGCCGGCGGCUUAUCAGCUUGUUGGUGGGGUAAUGGCCUACCAAGGCGUCGACGGGUAGCCGGCCUGAGAGGGUGGACGGCCACAUUGGGACUGAGAUACGGCCCAGACUCCUACGGGAGGCAGCAGUGGGGAAUAUUGCACAAUGGCCGGAAGCCUUAUGCAGCGACGCCGCGUGGGGGAUGCCGGCCUUCGGGUUGUAAACCUCUUUCGACGGGGACGAAGCUUCGGUGACGGUACCUGUAGAAGAAGCACCGGCUAACUACGUG